UACGGGGGGGGCAAGCGUUGUUCGGAAUUACUGGGCGUAAAGGGCUCGUAGGCGGCCAACUAAGUCAGACGUGAAAUCCCCAGGCUCAACCUGGGAACUGCGUCUGAUACUGGAUGGCUUGAAUCCGGGAGAGGGAUGCAGAAUUCCAGGUGUAGCGGUGAAAUGCGUAGAUAUCUGGAGGAAUACCGGUGGUGAAGACGGGUGACUGGGCUGGUUCUGACACUGAGGCACGAAAGCGUGGGGAGCGAACGGG
This 253-nucleotide ribosomal RNA is filed under the name uncultured bacterium. RNAcentral's name for it is "partial 16S ribosomal RNA". It matches the Rfam family "Bacterial small subunit ribosomal RNA", at positions 524 to 776 of the family's 1533-position model. The record is from RNAcentral.